AGCGAACGCUGGCGGCAGGCCUAACACAUGCAAGUCGAACGAACCUUUCGGGGUUAGUGGCGGACGGGUGAGUAGCACGUGGGAACGUGCCUUUAGGUUCGGAAUAACUCAGGGAAACUUGUGCUAAUACCGAAUGUGCCCUUCGGGGGAAAGAUUAAUCGCCUUUAGAGCGGCCCGCGUCUGAUUAGCUAGUUGGUUGAGGUAAUGGCUCACCAAGGCGACGAUCAGUAGCUGGUCUGAGAGGAUGAUCAGCCACAUUGGGACUGAGACACGGCCCAAACUCCGACGGGAGGGAGCAGUGGGGAAUCUUGCGCAAUGGGCGAAAGCCUGACGCAGCCAUGCCGCGUGAAUGAUGAAGGUCUUAGGAUUGUAAAAUUCUUUCACCGGGGACGAUAAUGACGGUACCCGGAGAAGAAGCCCCGGCUAACUUCGUG
RNAcentral lists this ribosomal RNA (434 nucleotides) under uncultured bacterium. RNAcentral's name for it is "partial 16S ribosomal RNA". It matches the Rfam family "Bacterial small subunit ribosomal RNA", at positions 29 to 507 of the family's 1533-position model. The record is from RNAcentral.